RNAcentral lists this ribosomal RNA (465 nucleotides) under Vreelandella stevensii. RNAcentral's name for it is "partial 16S ribosomal RNA". It matches the Rfam family "Bacterial small subunit ribosomal RNA", at positions 338 to 795 of the family's 1533-position model. The record is from RNAcentral. Lineage: Bacteria; Pseudomonadati; Pseudomonadota; Gammaproteobacteria; Oceanospirillales; Halomonadaceae.
CCUACGGGUGGCUGCAGUGGGGAAUAUUGGACAAUGGGCGAAAGCCUGAUCCAGCCAUGCCGCGUGUGUGAAGAAGGCCUUCGGGUUGUAAAGCACUUUCAGUGGGGAAGAAAGCCUUGGGGCUAAUACCCUCGAGGAAGGACAUCACCCACAGAAGAAGCACCGGCUAACUCCGUGCCAGCAGCCGCGGUAAUACGGAGGGUGCGAGCGUUAAUCGGAAUUACUGGGCGUAAAGCGCGCGUAGGCGGUCUGAUAAGCCGGUUGUGAAAGCCCCGGGCUCAACCUGGGAACGGCAUCCGGAACUGUCAGGCUAGAGUGCAGGGGAGGAAGGUAGAAUUCCCGGUGUAGCGGUGAAAUGCGUAGAGAUCGGGAGGAAUACCAGUGGCGAAGGCGGCCUUCUGGACUGACACUGGCGCUGAGGUGCGAAAGCGUGGGUAGCAAACAGGAUUAGAUACCCCAGUAGUC